GCUUUGAAGUCCCAUUUGGAAAGCCCAGUGAGGACUGCUUUCACAUGGGCCAGCCAGAGCCCCACCAUUCAGAGAGAAUUUGUAAGGGACUCCAGGUCCAAGAACUCAGACAAAGAUUUCUUGUUUCUAUAACCUGCCUCCUGGAAGCUUCUGAAGGGCUGUUAGUGGAACCUGAGGUGGGCAGCAGUAACAAGUGGUGAUUGAUAUCAGGCAGCUGUUCACUUUGCCUAGUUCUGAUCCCAAGUCUACUUCCAACUGAAAGGAAAAAGAAAAAGAAUUACCAAAGUCCAGUGGUAAAACAGAGUUCAGGAUGACUGGCAAUGUCCUGGAAUGAAGGGAUGACCUUGGCAUCUCUGUUUAACCAAGCUCUAGGCACUCCACAGUGCCCAUUUCAGCUGACUCCAUGGCCACUGGGACAAAUUAUUCUCAUUUGCCCAUUCCACUGGGAAAACAGUGUUCAGCUUCUUUCCAUCAAGUUCUGUCCAAGAAGUCCCCCUUUUCUCUAGGAGGAGAUGUUCAGGAUAUCCUCCUUCUAUUUGGAACCUCCUCUCUUAGAACCUCCACCAUCCAAGAACUCCUGAGAGCUUCUGCAAUCAAUUUUUUUUCAGCUGCCAUCUUUAUGGCUGAGUCAUUUUGAAGGAGGAGGAGGAAGAGGAGAAGAAGAAGGAAAAGAAGAAGAAGAAGAGAGGAGGAGGAGGAGGAGGAGGGGAAGGAGAAGAAGAUGGAAGAGGAAGAGGAAAAGAAAGAAAAAAAGAAAAUAAAAGCUUUUUCAGAUUGUAUUUAGAUUCCA
RNAcentral lists this long non-coding RNA (790 nucleotides) under Monodelphis domestica (gray short-tailed opossum). RNAcentral's name for it is "lncRNA (ENSMODG00000043001.1)". The record is from RNAcentral. Lineage: Eukaryota; Metazoa; Chordata; Mammalia; Didelphimorphia; Didelphidae.